GAUGAACGCUGGCGGCGUGCCUAAUACGUGCAAGUCGAGCGAACGGACGAGAAGCUUGCUUCUCUGAUGUUAGCGGCGGACGGGUGAGUAACACGUGGAUAACCUACCUAUAAGACUGGGAUAACUUCGGGAAACCGGAGCUAAUACCGGAUAAUAUUUUGAACCGCAUGGUUCAAAAGUGAAAGGCGGUCUUGCUGUCACUUAUAGAUGGAUCCGCGCUGCAUUAGCUAGUUGGUAAGGUAACGGCUUACCAAGGCAACGAUGCAUAGCCGACCUGAGAGGGUGAUCGGCCACACUGGAACUGAGACACGGUCCAGACUCCUACGGGAGGCAGCAGUAGGGAAUCUUCCGCAAUGGGCGAAAGCCUGACGGAGCAACGCCGCGUGAGUGAUGAAGGUCUUCGGAUCGUAAAACUCUGUUAUUAGGGAAGAACAUAUGUGUAAGUAACUGUGCACAUCUUGACGGUACCUAAUCAGAAAGCCACGGCUAACUACGUG
Molecule: ribosomal RNA, 497 nt
Filed under: uncultured bacterium
Lineage: Bacteria
Description: partial 16S ribosomal RNA
Rfam family: Bacterial small subunit ribosomal RNA
Source: RNAcentral